AACGCGAAGAACCUUACCUGGGUUUGACAUAUACCGGACGACUGCAGAGAUGUGGUUUCCCUUGUGGUCGGUAUACAGGUGGUGCAUGGCUGUCGUCAGCUCGUGUCGUGAGAUGUUGGGUUAAGUCCCGCAACGAGCGCAACCCUUGUCCUGUGUUGCCAGCACGUAAUGGUGGGGACUCGCAGGAGACUGCCGGGGUCAACUCGGAGGAAGGUGGGGACGACGUCAAGUCAUCAUGCCCCUUAUGUCCAGGGCUUCACACAUGCUACAAUGGUCGGUACAGAGGGCUGCGAUACCGUGAGGUGGAGCGAAUCCCUUAAAGCCGGUCUCAGUUCGGAUCGGGGUCUGCAACUCGACCCCGUGAAGUCGGAGUCGCUAGUAAUCGCAGAUCAGCAACGCUGCGGUGAAUACGUUCCCGGGUCUUGUACACACCG
This 434-nucleotide ribosomal RNA is filed under the name uncultured bacterium. RNAcentral describes it as "bacterial SSU rRNA". It matches the Rfam family "Bacterial small subunit ribosomal RNA", at positions 958 to 1392 of the family's 1533-position model. The record is from RNAcentral.